Molecule: long non-coding RNA, 206 nt
Filed under: Erythranthe guttata (spotted monkey flower)
Lineage: Eukaryota; Viridiplantae; Streptophyta; Magnoliopsida; Lamiales; Phrymaceae
Description: long non-coding RNA (EGUT_LNC001407)
Source: RNAcentral
AUGGAUGUAUAUUAUGGAUUUUAAAGCGUUUUUAGUUCAUGUAUUGAAUUGUAUGGUCUGGGCUGGAGCUGGAGCUAUCGGGGCUGUACGAUAUCGUAGUGCUACAGAGAUAGUUAUUAAAUCGCAAGCCCUAGGGUGUACUUUUAUUUAUUGACCUAUCAAUCCAUUGUUCUGCCACGGCAUCCCAAAUUUAUGCCAAAAUCUUG